UAUUAGGUCACUGCAAAGGUAAUUGCAGUUUUUGUCAUUGAAAGUAAUGGCAAAAACUGCAAUUACCUUUGCAGUGAUCUAAUG
RNAcentral lists this microRNA precursor (84 nucleotides) under Chlorocebus sabaeus (green monkey). Its description in RNAcentral is "mir-548 microRNA precursor family". It matches the Rfam family "mir-548 microRNA precursor family". The record is from Rfam by way of RNAcentral. Lineage: Eukaryota; Metazoa; Chordata; Mammalia; Primates; Cercopithecidae.